This 253-nucleotide ribosomal RNA is filed under the name uncultured bacterium. RNAcentral describes it as "partial 16S ribosomal RNA". It matches the Rfam family "Bacterial small subunit ribosomal RNA", at positions 524 to 776 of the family's 1533-position model. The record is from RNAcentral.
AACGUAGGUUCCGAGCGUUAUCCGGAUUUACUGGGCGUAAAGCGUGUUCAGGCGGCUUAGCAAGUCGGGCAUGAAAUCUCUCGGCUCAACCGGGAGGGGCUGUCCGAUACUGCUGGGCUUGAGGGCAGUAGAGGGUGGUGGAAUUCCGGGUGUAGUGGUGAAAUGCGUAGAUAUCCGGAGGAACACCAGUGGCGAAAGCGGCCACCUGGACUGUACCUGACGCUCAAACACGAAAGCUAGGGGAGCGAACGGG